CCGGAAGGGAGCCAAGCUUGAGCCAUCUUGAUGGGAUGCAGCACACUAGACGGUACCACCAGAGGCUUGGAAAAGGCCAACUGGAUGACUGCAAGGUGCAAAUUGUUUACUGAAGAAAUUCAUCAUAUAGCCGGUCAAGUGUUUGGAUUCUGUUAGAAGAUUGAGAACAAGGUGAUAAAAUGCAUCAUUUCAGCAUCACAGGAUUUUGAUGACCAGACAAAGGCUUUGAAUUGUGCCUGAUGUAUUUUUUUAAUGCACAGUAAAUAGGACUCCAGGGCCAACUCCCCCG
Molecule: long non-coding RNA, 289 nt
Filed under: Gorilla gorilla gorilla (western lowland gorilla)
Lineage: Eukaryota; Metazoa; Chordata; Mammalia; Primates; Hominidae
Description: lncRNA (ENSGGOG00000044527.1)
Source: RNAcentral